This 429-nucleotide ribosomal RNA is filed under the name Verrucomicrobiota bacterium. RNAcentral describes it as "Verrucomicrobia bacterium partial 16S ribosomal RNA". It matches the Rfam family "Bacterial small subunit ribosomal RNA", at positions 355 to 776 of the family's 1533-position model. Lineage: Bacteria; Pseudomonadati; Verrucomicrobiota. The record is from RNAcentral.
UAGGGAAUCUUCCGCAAUGGACGAAAGUCUGACGGAGCAACGCCGCGUGAGUGAAGAAGGAUUUCGGUUCGUAAAACUCUGUUGUUAGGGAAGAAAAAAUGUAUAGUAACUAAAUACAAAAGAGACGGUACCUAACCAGAAAGCCACGGCUAACUACGUGCCAGCAGCCGCGGUAAUACGUAGGUGGCAAGCGUUGUCCGGAAUUAUUGGGCGUAAAGCGCGCGCAGGUGGUUUAGAAAGUCUGAUGUGAAAGCCCACGGCUCAACCGUGGAGGGUCAUUGGAAACUAAUAAACUUGAGUGCAGGAGAGAAAAGUGGAAUUCCUAGUGUAGCGAUGAAAUGCGUAGAGAUUAGGAGGAACACCGGUGGCGAAAGCGGCUUUUUGGCCUGCAACUGACACUGAGGCGCGAAAGCGUGGGGAGCAAACAGG